RNAcentral lists this ribosomal RNA (402 nucleotides) under uncultured bacterium. Its description in RNAcentral is "partial 16S ribosomal RNA". It matches the Rfam family "Bacterial small subunit ribosomal RNA", at positions 355 to 774 of the family's 1533-position model. The record is from RNAcentral.
UGGGGAAUAUUGGACAAUGGGCGAAAGCCUGAUCCAGCCAUGCCGCAUGAGUGAAGAAGGCCUUUGGGUUGUAAAGCUCUUUUAGUGAGGAAGAUAAUGACGGUACUCACAGAAGAAGUCCUGGCUAACUCCGUGCCAGCAGCCGCGGUAAUACGGAGAGGUCUAGCGUUAUUCGGAAUUAUUGGGCGUAAAGGGCGCGUAGGCUGGUUAAUAAGUUAAAAGUGAAAUCCCGAGGCUUAACCUUGGAAUUGCUUUUAAAACUAUUAAUCUAGAGAUUGAAAGAGGAUAGAGGAAUUCCUGAUGUAGAGGUAAAAUUCGUAAAUAUUAGGAGGAACACCGGUGGCGAAGGCGUCUAUCUGGUUCAAAUCUGACGCUGAAGCGCGAAGGCGUGGGGAGCAAACA